CAGUCGCCGCGGUAAUACGAAGGGGGCUAGCGUUGCUCGGAAUUACUGGGCAUAAAGGGAGCGUAGGCGGAUGUUUAAGUCAGAGGUGAAAGCCCAGGGCUCAACCUUGGAACUGCCUUUGAUACUGGACAUCUUGAGUGUGGGAGAGGUAAGCGGAACUCCGAGUGUAGAGGUGAAAUUCGUAGAUAUUCGGAAGAACACCAGUGGCGAAGGCGGCUUACUGGCCCAUUACUGACGCUGAGGCUCGAAAGCGUGGGGAGCAAACAGGAUUAGAUACCCCGGUAGUCCCUGUCUCUUAUAC
This 301-nucleotide ribosomal RNA is filed under the name uncultured bacterium. Its description in RNAcentral is "partial 16S ribosomal RNA". It matches the Rfam family "Bacterial small subunit ribosomal RNA", at positions 509 to 807 of the family's 1533-position model. The record is from RNAcentral.